RNAcentral lists this ribosomal RNA (1004 nucleotides) under Bacillus licheniformis. Its description in RNAcentral is "bacterial SSU rRNA". It matches the Rfam family "Bacterial small subunit ribosomal RNA", at positions 53 to 1037 of the family's 1533-position model. Lineage: Bacteria; Bacillati; Bacillota; Bacilli; Caryophanales; Bacillaceae. The record is from RNAcentral.
ACAUGCAAGUCGAGCGGACAGAUGGGAGCUUGCUCCCUGAUGUUAGCGGCGGACGGGUGAGUAACACGUGGGUAACCUGCCUGUAAGACUGGGAUAACUCCGGGAAACCGGGGCUAAUACCGGAUGCUUGAUUGAACCGCAUGGUUCAAUUAUAAAAGGUGGCUUUUAGCUACCACUUACAGAUGGACCCGCGGCGCAUUAGCUAGUUGGUGAGGUAACGGCUCACCAAGGCAACGAUGCGUAGCCGACCUGAGAGGGUGAUCGGCCACACUGGGACUGAGACACGGCCCAAACUCCUACGGGAGGCAGCAGUAGGGAAUCUUCCGCAAUGGACGAAAGUCUGACGGAGCAACGCCGCGUGAGUGAUGAAGGUUUUCGGAUCGUAAAACUCUGUUGUUAGGGAAGAACAAGUACCGUUCGAAUAGGGCGGUACCUUGACGGUACCUAACCAGAAAGCCACGGCUAACUACGUGCCAGCAGCCGCGGUAAUACGUAGGUGGCAAGCGUUGUCCGGAAUUAUUGGGCGUAAAGCGCGCGCAGGCGGUUUCUUAAGUCUGAUGUGAAAGCCCCCGGCUCAACCGGGGAGGGUCAUUGGAAACUGGGGAACUUGAGUGCAGAAGAGGAGAGUGGAAUUCCACGUGUAGCGGUGAAAUGCGUAGAGAUGUGGAGGAACACCAGUGGCGAAGGCGACUCUCUGGUCUGUAACUGACGCUGAGGCGCGAAAGCGUGGGGAGCGAACAGGAUUAGAUACCCUGGUAGUCCACGCCGUAAACGAUGAGUGCUAAGUGUUAGAGGGUUUCCGCCCUUUAGUGCUGCAGCAAACGCAUUAAGCACUCCGCCUGGGGAGUACGGUCGCAAGACUGAAACUCAAAGGAAUUGACGGGGGCCCGCACAAGCGGUGGAGCAUGUGGUUUAAUUCGAAGCAACGCGAAGACCCUUACCAGGUCUUGACAUCCUCUGACACCCCUAGAGAUAGGGCUUCCCCUUCGGGGGCAGAGUGACAG